RNAcentral lists this ribosomal RNA (465 nucleotides) under uncultured bacterium. RNAcentral's name for it is "partial 16S ribosomal RNA". It matches the Rfam family "Bacterial small subunit ribosomal RNA", at positions 338 to 795 of the family's 1533-position model. The record is from RNAcentral.
CCUACGGGAGGCAGCAGUAGGGAAUCUUCCACAAUGGGCGAAAGCCUGAUGGAGCAACGCCGCGUGGAUGAAGAAGGUCUUCGGAUCGUAAAACCCUGUUGUUAGAGAAGAAAGUGCGUGAGAGUAACUGUUCACGUUUCGACGGUAUCUAACCAGAAAGCCACGGCUAACUACGUGCCAGCAGCCGCUGUAAUACGUAGGGGGCAAGCGUUAUCCGGAUUUAUUGGGCGUAAAGGGAACGCAGGCGGUCUUUUAAGUCUGAUGUGAAAGCCUUCGGCUUAACCGGAGUAGUGCAUUGGAAACUGGGAGACUGGAGUGCAGAAGAGGAGAGUGGAACUCCAUGUGUAGCGGUGAAAUGCGUAGAUAUAUGGAAGAACACCAGUGGCGAAAGCGGCUCUCUGGUCUGUAACUGACGCUGAGGUUCGAAAGCGUGGGUAGCAAACAGGAUUAGAUACCCCAGUAGUC